Long non-coding RNA from Orcinus orca (killer whale), 434 nucleotides. RefSeq lists it as uncharacterized. The record is from RefSeq and is a predicted model, not a curated record. Lineage: Eukaryota; Metazoa; Chordata; Mammalia; Artiodactyla; Delphinidae. The transcript has 4 exons.
GUGAGAAUAUAGCUGUUUAUGAACUAGGAAGCUGGCCCUCACCAGACACUGAAUCGGCUGGCACCUUGAUCUUGAACUUCCCAGACUCCAGAACUGAUAGCAAGGAGGCCUGUGGCUGGAGCAGAGGCAGCAGGAAGGAGAGAGACUGAGGAAAGAUGAAACUGCAGAGGUUACAGGUGGCCAGAAGAAGCAGGGCCACUGCGGGCCAGAAUUUCUCUACAAAUUUAUGAAUAUAAAAAAGCAACUUACGAAAAAAGAAAGUGCUGAAUGAAGACAAGAUCACUUCCAUAAAUGAGGUACCUGCAGUCUUACUCUGGACAGAAAGACCUACAAGGACAUUGACCAGAUGUCUCAUUCAUUUCUCUAACCCCCAGAACAAUGAAUUCUCAGCCAAUGUUCAACCACUAUAUGUCUGAUGACAGACCACAGACACU